GGGUCCCAGGGGGGUCCCCAGGCCGGGGGUCCGCUCUCACCGCGCAGCAGAGCCCUCACGAAGCGCCCGGCUCCCGGCACCGCCAGCCACCAACUCCCGGCAUCGCGCACGGUCAGGAGCCCCGCGGCCACCAGAGCCCUGCUGGGGCCACCAGAACCCGGCUGGGGCCACCAGAGCCCUGCCGGGGCCACCAAAACCCGGCUGUGGCCACCAAAACCCGGCUGUGGCCACCAAAACCCGGCUGUGGCCACCAAAACCCGGCUGGGGCCACCAAAACCCGGCUGGGGCCACCAAAACCCUGCUGUGGCCACCAAAACCCAGCCAUGGCCACCAGAACCCGGCUGUGGCCACCAGAACCCGGCUGGGGCCACCAAAACCCGGCUGUGGCCACCAGAGCCCUGCUGGGGCCACCAAAACCCUGCUGGGGCCACCAAAACACGGCUGUGGCCACCAAAGCCUGGCUGUGGCCAUCAGAACCUGGCUGUGGCUACCAGAACCCGGCUGUGGCCACCAGAACCCGGCUGUGGCCACCAGAACCCCCCAGAGCCACCCUGGGGGUCCCAAACCCCACCCUGGGCUGUCCCCAGGUCCCCCCAGGUGUCCCCAUGACCCCCAGGUGUCCCCAGGUGUGUUCCAGGUGUGUUUUUGGUGUCCCCAGGUGUCCCCCCAUGACCCCCAGCUGUCCCCAAAUGUCCCCAGGUGUCCCCAGGUGUCCCCAGGUGUCCCCAGGUGAGGUUUGGGGUGUCCCCAGGUGUGUCCCAGGUGUCCUUAGGUGUGUCCCAGGUGUCCCCAGGUGUGUCCCCAGGUGUCCCAGGUGUCCCCAGGUCCCCGCAGGUGUCCCCAGGUGUCCCCAGGUGUCCCCAGCUGUCCCCAGGUGUCCCCAGGGGUCCCCAG
Molecule: long non-coding RNA, 894 nt
Filed under: Parus major (Great Tit)
Lineage: Eukaryota; Metazoa; Chordata; Aves; Passeriformes; Paridae
Description: lncRNA (ENSPMJG00000001911.1)
Source: RNAcentral